This 490-nucleotide ribosomal RNA is filed under the name Escherichia coli. RNAcentral describes it as "bacterial LSU rRNA". It matches the Rfam family "Bacterial large subunit ribosomal RNA", at positions 1232 to 1796 of the family's 2925-position model. The record is from RNAcentral. Lineage: Bacteria; Pseudomonadati; Pseudomonadota; Gammaproteobacteria; Enterobacterales; Enterobacteriaceae.
GGGAGCGUUCUGUAUAGGAAGAAGCACUAGCGGCGAGCAGGUGUGGACAGUACAGAAGUGAGAAUGUCGGCUUGAGUAGCGCAAAUGUAUGUGAGAAUCAUACACCCCGAAACCCCAAGGGUUCCAGAGCCAGGUUCGUCCACUCUGGGUUAGUCGGGACCUAAGGCGAGGCCGAACGGCGUAGUCGAUGGACACAGGGUGAAUAAUCCCUGACUAAAGUAUGGGAGGAUUUAUCGGGACGCAUGAGUGGGGACUAAACCCUAAUUGGAUUGGGAGGAGUUUACGAACUCCGCUUAGUUGAAACAAGUGCCAAGAAAAGCGAUAAAUGCGUUGAACAUAUUUUACCCGUACCCGAAACCGACACAGGUGGGGAGGUUGAGAAUACCAAGGGGCGCGAGAUAACUCUCUCUAAGGAACUCGGCAAAAUGGCCCCGUAACUUCGGAAGAAGGGGUACCCAAGGAGACUUGGGUCGCAGUGAAGAGAUCCAGG